CGUGGGCGCGCGGGAGAGCGCGGAUGGCCUUUCAGGCAUGAUCCGCCGCCGAAGGAGCAACCACCCCGGAAUCUCUCAGGCAGCAGGGACCGCGCAUACCCA
Molecule: non-coding RNA, 102 nt
Organism: Sphingomonas sp. Ag1
Lineage: Bacteria; Pseudomonadati; Pseudomonadota; Alphaproteobacteria; Sphingomonadales; Sphingomonadaceae
Source: Rfam